GCCGAGACAAAGCAUUCCUUCCAUCCUGCUCAGAAGGCUGAAAGGCACAAGAGAUACCGUUAGUAAUGAACGCUAGUGCUCUGUUGAUUUCACUUGUCCCAUUAUUUUAUGGACGUGUGUCCGUGCACGCAAAAACAAGCUUGGUCCAGAAGAAUGGAAACUAAAGAGGCUUGUAACUACCUGUAACUGUUUCGUCAGGAAAUGGAUCAAGCGUUUUUUUCAGCCAGAUCCAGGAUCCACAACAACUCAACAACUCAUAAUGAUAGCACUGACUGUCCCCGGGUCAUGAGCAGUGUGCAGCACCGGCCUUUUAAGCUUGCAGCCUCUGAAGGAUCAAAAUCAAAACUGCUUGAGCAAGUUUCCUGGCUGGAG
Molecule: long non-coding RNA, 372 nt
Filed under: Dasypus novemcinctus (nine-banded armadillo)
Lineage: Eukaryota; Metazoa; Chordata; Mammalia; Cingulata; Dasypodidae
Description: lncRNA (ENSDNOG00000051292.1)
Source: RNAcentral